RNAcentral lists this ribosomal RNA (433 nucleotides) under uncultured bacterium. RNAcentral describes it as "partial 16S ribosomal RNA". It matches the Rfam family "Bacterial small subunit ribosomal RNA", at positions 29 to 507 of the family's 1533-position model. The record is from RNAcentral.
AACGAACGCUGGCGGCAUGCCUAACACAUGCAAGUCGAACGAGACCUUCGGGUCUAGUGGCGCACGGGUGCGUAACGCGUGGGAGCCUGCCUUUAGGUUCGGAAUAACUCAGAGAAAUUUGAGCUAAUACCGGAUGAUGUCUUCGGACCAAAGAUUUAUCGCCUUUAGAUGGGCCCGCGUUGGAUUAGCUAGUUGGUGGGGUAAAGGCCUACCAAGGCGACGAUCCAUAGCUGGUCUGAGAGGAUGAUCAGCCACACUGGGACUGAGACACGGCCCAGACUCCUACGGGAGGCAGCAGUGGGGAAUAUUGGACAAUGGGCGAAAGCCUGAUCCAGCAAUGCCGCGUGAGUGAUGAAGGCCUUAGGGUUGUAAAGCUCUUUUACCCGAGAUGAUAAUGACAGUAUCGGGAGAAUAAGCUCCGGCUAACUCCGUG